GGUUCGAUGGCGUAGUUGGUUAUCGCAUCUGUCUAACAUGAAUGUGAACUGUCACCAUGCACAGAAGGUCCCCAGUUCGAGCCUGGGUCGAAUCA
Molecule: non-coding RNA, 95 nt
Organism: Marasmius fiardii PR-910
Lineage: Eukaryota; Fungi; Basidiomycota; Agaricomycetes; Agaricales; Marasmiaceae
Source: the annotation of a GenBank genome assembly